Molecule: ribosomal RNA, 222 nt
Filed under: uncultured bacterium
Lineage: Bacteria
Description: partial 16S ribosomal RNA
Rfam family: Bacterial small subunit ribosomal RNA
Source: RNAcentral
UACGUAGGGCGCAAGCGUUGUCCGGAAUUAUUGGGCGUAAAGAGCUCGUAGGCGGUUUGUCGCGUCUGCUGUGAAAACCUAAGGCUCAACCUUGGGCUUGCAGUGGGUACGGGCAGACUAGAGUGCGGUAGGGGUGACUGGAAUUCCUGGUGUAGCGGUGGAAUGCGCAGAUAUCAGGAGGAACACCGAUGGCGAAGGCAGGUCACUGGGCCGCAACUGACG